Cyprinus carpio (common carp) is the source of this 988-nucleotide long non-coding RNA. RefSeq lists it as uncharacterized. The transcript is spliced from 3 exons. NCBI's taxonomy places the organism in Eukaryota, Metazoa, Chordata, Actinopteri, Cypriniformes, Cyprinidae. The record is from RefSeq and is a predicted model, not a curated record.
UUGAUAUGGUGAAAUUAUGCUAACGUACAUUGCUAGGUAGAGACUUCUGUUAUAUUCUUUUUUUUUUUUUUUGCUACGAGAGUCCACGCACCUCAACCCCUUGUAAAAAUCUCAAGCAUUAUUUGAUGGCUCCUGCACUUUCUAAUAUUGACUGUCCAUCAAGUGGAGCACUUUCAGACCGAGAAGAGUUGCAACGCUUAGAAGGCAUUGAAGAAUUGGAGAGCACCAUGGAUGCCUCUAAAGCUCUAGAGAACAAGUGUGAUCUCAGUAAACAUGAACUGCAAUCUAUGUCUAUGCUCAAUUUAUGUGAUAAUUAUUCUUUUUUUUAUAUCUAGUCUGCAAAAUUUGAGUGUUCAAGACUAUGAAAAUGUAAUCAUAGAUGAUAAGAUCAAUGACAAUGUGUACGUUGUAAUAUAUAUUUGUAUAUUGUAAAAAUAUGAAUGUAAUUUUGACAGUAUUUCUUGGGGAACAGAUGAUGAGGAAGAAGAGAAAACUGAAGGUUAUGACAGCCAAGAUGAAGAAUAUGUUGCUCGUCUUUGUAUAUGUCUACCAAUAAUCGGACUGGAUGAGAUGACAUCCUCGACACAGAGCAUCCAUCCACUGACCCACCUCCAUGUACUCAACCGCCUUGUUUUCCCUCUCUUCACUGAGGAUGACCUAAUAGGAAAACGUGCAUCCAUUGUCUUUAAGGACUGUUUAAAGCAGCUAGUAAAAUUCUUCAUGCUACCAGUACAAAAGUGCCCAUACUUCCUCCCUUUGAGGUCUCAUCAAAUCCAUGGGUACAGCAAGCAUCAUGGAAUGGGUAAGUAAUUGUAACCAUACUACACUGUAACCAUGUUUAAAGCAUAUGGCAGUGUAUUUGCUGUGAACAAGAUUUUGUGAGACUUGAUUACUCCAUUGAAAAAAUUGUUGGCCCAUUGUACAAACCCGAUUCCAAAAAAGUUGGGACACUGUACAAAUUGUGAAUAAAAACAGAAUGCAAUGAUGU